Molecule: long non-coding RNA, 755 nt
Organism: Nasonia vitripennis (jewel wasp)
Lineage: Eukaryota; Metazoa; Arthropoda; Insecta; Hymenoptera; Pteromalidae
Exons: 2
Source: RefSeq, a predicted model, not a curated record
UGCUCGCUCUGUCUCUCUCACUCUCUCUUCUCUGCAGCAGCAGUCGCUCCUUCGUUUUAUACGGCGCAACGGGUCAGAUCGAAUUAAUUGCCAGGUCGAAACCAGUUUGGUAGGAACGGAUUCCGCAGCGCAAAUUUAAAGUCACAGCCUUCGGGGGCCUUCUUAAUGUCUCGAGAAUCACGUCUCCCUUUCUCGCGGCGAAACUUAUAUGUAUACGCGUACGGGAGCACAUUUCUCCGGGGCAAAAAGCGGCCAACGGUAGUCGCCGUGUCUUUAUUCGCUCGCUUACGUAAAUCAAAUGUCUCGCGAUUGACUGGAUUACUUCAACCGUAAAAUGUUUCUAUUAUAAGGAUUGACGGCUUGGGAUGGCCUGGUGACGAUAAUUAUGUUUUUAGAUACGUGUGCAUGAUGCAUGAACGACUUAUUCACAAGUCAGGUGCGAUCGAAACUUUUUGAUAGGAUGUGUAUAUACAGCCAAGGCUUCAGAUGUUGCAACAAGAGGCAGCCGCAAUCGUCCAAACUGCACCUGUAAUGAAUCUUAUACAAUCAAUGGUGUAGGAGGAUAAAAGACUGCGCGUUGCAGUUACAGCAUGAAUGGCUAAGGCAGCAGACCAGACAAGGCAGUUUUAGUAUGGGUGGCACACCACUAUUUCUAGGCUCGGCUGCAUAUUGUUCAUAAGGGAGCAGAAAAAAUGCCCAUGCGCCACAUAUUGUCACCUGCCACAAACUCGGAGAGUUUAGGCGGGGACGAGAAG